GAACAAUUGUUUGACAACUGCUUUUUCAGUUAAUUUCUAGGGAUGUGCAAUAACUCUGUUUUGAAGAAUCCAAACAUUCAAAUGAAAUCAUGAGGAAACUAACUUCUGUUCAAAUUUGUUUGUCUUGGUCCAACGGGAGUAGAGUUUAAGAGAGUCAGAAGACUUUUUGAUCAUGUGAUCAAAAACUAAAGAAAUGUAAAAGGUACCAAAAUGUCCUUUAAUCUUGUG
Molecule: unclassified non-coding RNA, 228 nt
Filed under: Hevea brasiliensis (rubber tree)
Lineage: Eukaryota; Viridiplantae; Streptophyta; Magnoliopsida; Malpighiales; Euphorbiaceae
Source: RNAcentral